GCUGACGAUAAUAGCUUGGAGGUCCCACCUGAUCCCUUCCCGAACUCAGAAGUGAAACUCCAAUGCGCCAAUGGUAGUGUGGUUCGCCCAUGUGAGAGUAGGUCA
This 105-nucleotide ribosomal RNA is filed under the name Escherichia coli. The record is from RNAcentral. RNAcentral also lists the same sequence under 1 other name. Lineage: Bacteria; Pseudomonadati; Pseudomonadota; Gammaproteobacteria; Enterobacterales; Enterobacteriaceae.